GGUCCCCUCGCCCACUUCACUUCCCUCCAUUGAAAAUUAAUGGCGUUCUCGCCCUAUUGCUUUCAACACGGGUCAGUGGAUCUCGGCAGUCGCUCACUCGCGAGCGCUCCUUAGACCGUACGUGACAGACAUGGAGCUCCGAGAUGCUCAAAUUACAAACAAAGGAAACAAACCAAAACAUUUUUUUGUAGGCUUAGAGGGUAUUCAUGUGCACCUAAACAUCGCAUCCACUUCGAGGAUGCAAACAGGAGCCCAGUUUCCUGCAGAGCAAAGCUGUGUAUGACUUCCAUGUCCAUCCAUAGAAGCUUCAAAGGACAUCAAAGAUCUUUAUUAUAAAGGGAGCUGUCACCCAGAUGUCAACUGCUAAGCGAGACAAACAACACAUCCCAGAAUCCCCCAGAAGUCACAGCCUCUGAGACGUGAGGGGUACAAGACACAUUCUUCAGUAUCAGCUGGCCAUUGCACUCUCCCCAAACUCUCUUCAAUUAUACCACACAGUGAAGCUGCAUUGUGAGGUUCCAGUAAUGUAAUCCCCCUAAAUCAAAAUGCAAAUCAGGCCUAUUCUCAAUCCUUUAUGCUCCCUUCUUUUUUGAAGAUGGCUAGCCGGCGAACGCUGUGAUGGUGUUUUUGUGCUUUGUGUGGGAAGAAACCUUACU
Coregonus clupeaformis (lake whitefish) is the source of this 656-nucleotide long non-coding RNA. RefSeq lists it as uncharacterized. Lineage: Eukaryota; Metazoa; Chordata; Actinopteri; Salmoniformes; Salmonidae. The transcript has 3 exons. The record is from RefSeq and is a predicted model, not a curated record.